This is a long non-coding RNA of Neopelma chrysocephalum (saffron-crested tyrant-manakin), 463 nucleotides long. RefSeq lists it as uncharacterized. Lineage: Eukaryota; Metazoa; Chordata; Aves; Passeriformes; Pipridae. The record is from RefSeq and is a predicted model, not a curated record. The transcript is spliced from 3 exons.
GUUAACAAAAGAAGAAUACGACCAAAAUCCAUGGUCAAAAUUUUGCUUGCUGUCUGUUCAUCUUCAUUAGAAAGCUGCUUUCAGAAAUUCAGCCUAACAUAUAGAUCUGAAUUUGGGGACCUGCACUAUCUAGGCAUUGGUAGAGGACCAAUGAAUCUGCAGCAUAAAGCUUUAAAAUGUUUUAGUGUUUCACUCUCUGGUGGCACAACUCUGUUUCCAAAUGUACCAAGAGUUUGAUGGGAAUGCCUGUUAUAUUUCUGAGGAAUAAUGUUUUACAGUGGAAAUCUGGAUUGGAGACAAGAAAAAAGGGUUAUUUGCAAAAAAAUUUUGACACCUCGGUGAAAAGAGGAGCAUCCUUAGAAAGGCGUUGAGCCAGUGCUCUGAAUUAAGGAUUCCAUCACUGGCAGCAGGAGUGGGUGCGUGUUCAGUACAGAAAAGCCACGCCCUGGCCAUAGAUUUUGAA